Molecule: ribosomal RNA, 377 nt
Filed under: uncultured Chloroflexota bacterium
Lineage: Bacteria; Bacillati; Chloroflexota
Description: bacterial SSU rRNA
Rfam family: Bacterial small subunit ribosomal RNA
Source: RNAcentral
UAAAACGUAGGUGGCGAGCGUUAUCCGGAUUUAUUGGGCGUAAAGAGGGCGCAGGCGGCUUUUUAAGUCAGAUGUAAAAUCUCCCAGCUUAACUGGGAGGGACCAUUUGAUACUGUUAAGCUAGAGUGCAACAGGGGGAGGUAGAAUUCCCGGUGUAGUGGUGAAAUGCGUAGAUAUCGGGAGGAAUACCAGUGGCGAAGGCGGCCUCCUGGGUUGUUACUGACGCUUAAGCCCGAAGGCGUGGGGGGCAAACAGGAUUAGAUACCCUGGUAGUCCACGCUGUAAACGAUGAACACUGGGUAUGGGGAGUAUCAACCCUCUCCGUGCCGAAGCUAACGCGUUAAGUGUUCCGCCUGGGAACUACGGCCGCAAGGCUA